Ostrinia furnacalis (Asian corn borer) is the source of this 1448-nucleotide long non-coding RNA. RefSeq lists it as uncharacterized. The transcript is spliced from 2 exons. The record is from RefSeq and is a predicted model, not a curated record. NCBI's taxonomy places the organism in Eukaryota, Metazoa, Arthropoda, Insecta, Lepidoptera, Crambidae.
AAUAAAAAUCAUAAUAAAUCAAUGGAUUUUGAUUUUAUUAACCUACUAUAUAACUAGCGAGAGGUCAUGGGUUCAAUUCCCGCCUUAGGCAGUUUUUAUUUUAAUCUGAAGUUUCUAAGAUGUUGCUAAGAAAUAAUAUUUACGAAUAUGCAAAUUUUCAUGUCAGUAAUAGCAUUCAAAACAUUUUCCCUCCGCUCCGCUCCUCUCCGCUCCGCUCCUCUCCUCUCUGCUCCGCCUUAAUGGUGGAAACCGGCCCUUACUUAAAGUAAGUAUUUUUAAAUGAUCGAUUCAGAUAAUUGUAAUGAAAAAAAAAAUCUAAUAAUAAUAAUUUAUCUUUCAAAAUGUUCCAACAAUAUACUUCUAACAUCCCUUUUUAAUAAAAUAAAAUGUCCAGAGACAUUAAUAAUGUGUGUGUGAAUAAUCAUCGGAAGCCGUCGGAAGGCGUUAUCCAUACUACCUUGACCCAUUUUGGCCAUUUUUGUCUGAUUUUGUUAGCAUUUAUCUCAUAAAUUUUCUUAGAAAUCCAUUGAAACCUUGCAAGAUGUUAUGUUCAGAUUAAACCUAGGUAAAUCUUGUUUCUGGAAAAUGUAACUUUUACUUACGUUAUCAGUUCUAAACAUACAGAAAUCCAUGUCUUGUAACUACCGAUUUGUAAGCAAAAAAACAGACCCAUUUUUGUUUAUCUCUCAUUUAAAUUCCAUUGUAAUUACAAAUGAACCACUUAUAUCCUCGUCUAGCUGAUAUACUCAAGUUACUGUAAACAUCUGUUUCAACACUCUAAAGCCUUGGUUCUAUCGAAUAAAUAUUUUUAUGUCGACCUCAGUUUUGAUGGUACUCUGAGUACCUACUUAGUUUUUCUAUGAAAGUUUCAAACAUGUUUUGUUGAAGAUAUUUGUAUGAAGAGGGUUGGUUUUUUGUAUCAAAUCUGUUAAAAUGUGUGUUGGGGAUUAAAUGAAAUACAUAUUACAGUCAAAUAUUAGUUUUUAUUACAAAAAUCCUUAAAACUAAGUUUAAAUUUUCGUCACAAUUAUUUGGUGUAGUAUACAAGCUUUAUUAUAACAUUUCUGUUGGAAAAACUUAUUAAAAUAGUACCAUAAAGUAAUAUUUAGUAUUCAGUAAAAAUUUGAUUGUUAUAGAUUUCUACUUUUGUUAUUAGGUUCUCAAAAUUAAAGUUUCGUAUCUCCGUCUCGGAUUUGAUAGUAACAUGAUUAACUUUGUUAAAUUUAAAGUGUUCGAAUUUAACCUUUCUCUAACCUUGAUUUUGUUGGAUGUAUAAUUCAUAUUUUCUUUUAAAACAGGGGUUCUUGGCGACCCAUCUGAACUUCUCUUCAAACUUCCAUCUUGCUUGGAAAUUACUGGUUUUAUAAGGCUUGGCGAAAAUGUUUUACACAGUGCUUCAGGUUCAUCGACAUUUUUUACUUUUAUUAUCGGAACUGCAGAAAUAUAUU